This 252-nucleotide ribosomal RNA is filed under the name uncultured bacterium. Its description in RNAcentral is "partial 16S ribosomal RNA". It matches the Rfam family "Archaeal small subunit ribosomal RNA", at positions 474 to 727 of the family's 1478-position model. The record is from RNAcentral.
UACCAGCACCCCGAGUGGUCGGGACGUUUAUUGGGCCUAAAGCAUCCGUAGCCGGUUCUACAAGUCUUCCGUUAAAUCCAGCUGCUUAACAGAUGGGCUGCGGAAGAUACUAUGGAGCUAGGAGGCGGGAGAGGCAAGCGGUACUCGAUGGGUAGGGGUAAAAUCCGUUGAUCCAUUGAAGACCACCAGUGGCGAAGGCGGCUUGCCAGAACGCGCUCGACGGUGAGGGAUGAAAGCUGGGGAGCAAACCGG